RNAcentral lists this ribosomal RNA (495 nucleotides) under uncultured bacterium. Its description in RNAcentral is "partial 16S ribosomal RNA". It matches the Rfam family "Bacterial small subunit ribosomal RNA", at positions 28 to 507 of the family's 1533-position model. The record is from RNAcentral.
GACGAACGCUGGCGGCGUGCCUAAUACAUGCAAGUAGAACGCUGAAGGAGGAGCUUGCUCUUCUGGAUGAGUUGCGAACGGGUGAGUAACGCGUAGGUAACCUGCCUGGUAGCGGGGGAUAACUAUUGGAAACGAUAGCUAAUACCGCAUAACAGUAGAUGUUGCAUGACAUUUACUUAAAAGGUGCAAUUGCAUCACUACCAGAUGGACCUGCGUUGUAUUAGCUAGUUGGUGGGGUAACGGCUCACCAAGGCGGCGAUACAUAGCCGACCUGAGAGGGUGAUCGGCCACACUGGGACUGAGACACGGCCCAGACUCCUACGGGAGGCAGCAGUAGGGAAUCUUCGGCAAUGGACGGAAGUCUGACCGAGCAACGCCGCGUGAGUGAAGAAGGUUUUCGGAUCGUAAAGCUCUGUUGUAAGAGAAGAACGAGUGUGAGAGUGGAAAGUUCACACUGUGACGGUAUCUUACCAGAAAGGGACGGCUAACUACGUG